Molecule: long non-coding RNA, 1860 nt
Filed under: Equus caballus (horse)
Lineage: Eukaryota; Metazoa; Chordata; Mammalia; Perissodactyla; Equidae
Description: lncRNA (ENSECAG00000043955.1)
Source: RNAcentral
CACGCAGAGCCUCUCCCACUGACCUCGCGGUCUGGCAAACGCACCUACAGUGAAGUCACCGUAAGAGCAGGAAUCAAAGACCAGAGACUUUAAUAGCUCCCCACGGUGACUAACUGUGGAUUUUGGCUAAGGAAAAAGCAGAAUGCCAUCCUCACCAGAUACGGCAGCAGAUGAAGAGAAAGGAGCAAAGGAGCGCCAUCACGGGCCUCAGGAGACAAGCAAAUGAGAAAAGUAAGGGUGAGUUGGCCAAGAUCGCCCAGCCAGCAAGCGGCAGAGGAAUAAACUGACCCCAGGACUUCCAAAUGCUACGGCCUGUGCUCUGGGGUGUCUGCAGCAGGAGUGGCAGCUGAGCAUCGGGACUGACAGUGGGGACCUGGGAGUCACCAACACUCACCUUUACUGGCUGUGUGACCCAGGGUGAGUUAAUUAUCCUCAUCUCGUCUCAGUUUCUUCAUCCAUAAAACAGUGCUAAUAACAACUGUGACACACGGUUACCGUGAGGAUUAAAGGAGAGAAGGUAUAUGCAAAGCACUCAGCUCACUGGCCAACACACAGUCAACACUCACGAAAUGGCAGUUGUUUUUAUUACACUCCACUGCCCAGGCAGGGACAUCUGUGUCUUCUGAACUCUCUACUUGCCUGUAUAGUGGCCACGAGAUACAAAACUCUGUAUGCAGCAGGUGCUUAACACAGGUUGGGGAAGAACAACUUCCUUCUAUCCAGCUACCCCACCUCCCAAACAGCCGUGGCCGAGAUUCACAGCCACAGGCGACGAGAAUAAGCCCAGUGCCAGAGGCAGGGUGGGACUGCUACACCGGGUCACAAUGGCCAGGGGGGCUGGGACCAGGUGGCAUCUGUGAAUCUGCCCUUGAUGAACACGUUCCGGGCCCAAGGAGGCCACGGCCACAGGCCACCCACAAGAUGGCCGCCAGCGGGGCGUGGGCAGCCCGGCACACUCGGGCCUCCCCGGUGGCGGCCGCGUUUCCUCCACUUUCUGCCUCACACCUCCCUCCCCUGGGGCUCCAGAUCUCUGCUCCCAGGGCUGGGGAACAUGUCUGUCCUUGGUGAGAAGAGCAAAUAAAAGCGCAUGGCCUACUUCCAGCAACCUCGCUGUUUCUCACUUGAAGAUUAAAAUAAUAAACACACAGACAUAGAGGCUGGAGAGUGAGGGGGAAACGAAGCAGCAUCGGAGCCGCGGCACGAGGCCUCACGCAGCCCAGGGCUGCGGUAACCUGGCAACCUGCGAAAGGAAGAAGGCAGGAAGGGGACCUGUGUACAAGCAACAGCCAACUGUCACAGCCUGAGACGAUGGGAAAUGCAAGUCCACAGCAAAUCCACUCAGCACCUACAUUUACUCGAGGCCACCUGGUGGGGGAACUUAACCCCAGAUCUCUUGGGAGCUCAGUGACUCCAGCAUCCUGCCUCUGCCACGAGCUGGGAGGAAGAUCUCUGCGGUGUGUUGAAUGCUCUUUUCUUUCUGUUCCUGUGUGGCUGUGAGCCUCUGCAUGGCCAGGAGACGCCACCUGCCCCUGCCAGCCAGGCUGCCUCUGCACCUGUGCCAGGAACCUGGAAGGGUCAGGACUCACUGGAGGCAAAGGGGCUCCAGGAAGGAGGCAGAAGUUGAAGGGGGCUCUGAGGAAUCCAAAACUUGCGAUAAAAACAGCAGGAGCAAAGGCAACUGAAGGGGCAGGAAUGACGUGUGGAAGAGCACGGAAGCAGAGCCCUGCAGGCUCAGAGAACAAUUUGUAGAGAAGUCUGACUGGCCGAAGGUUUCUUCCCUUGUUCAUUUUUUGAAAAUUUACACCUCUGCUUUUAAUUGUUUCAUAUUUUACACACCUGUCGGUAAUGUUUCAUUUGAAU